RNAcentral lists this long non-coding RNA (843 nucleotides) under Homo sapiens (human). RNAcentral's name for it is "HSALNT0164953". Lineage: Eukaryota; Metazoa; Chordata; Mammalia; Primates; Hominidae. The record is from RNAcentral.
AGGCAGAAAGAUAUUUAUUAAAGCAUUGUUCAUAGUAGCAAAGUUACAUGCAACCUAAAUAUUCAACCAUAGAUUACCUCAAUAAAGAAAGCCUUGUCCACAUAUUAGAAUAUAUACACUAAUAAAAGUGGUAGUGUCAAAUAAUAUUUAGUAAAAUGCUUAUGACAUAUUACUGCUGAUUAUAUAGCUCUAUGCAUUGAUAAAAGACUGAAAGGAAAACCAUCAAAUUCCUAGCAGUGGCUAUCAUUAGGUGAUGUGAUUACAAUUCAUGUUUUAUUUUUUUCCUGUAUCUUUUCAUAUUUUCCAUGUUCUCCAUGAUGAGCUUGCAUUGUUUUCUUUUGUAAUGAGGUAGCAGGGGUGGGAAAAGGUUAUUUUUAAAUGGGAGAAAGCAACAUUUUGUUUUUAAAAAGAUAUUAUUUUUGAGAGAAAUAGCACCACUCCAAGUUCCCAAAUCUUGACAUCAGGGAGAAAGCUGUUUCCUACAGAGCUGCACACCUAGGAAUCCUAGGUCCUGAACCCCUCCGUAAGCCCCAGAGGUCCAGACAUUUUUGUUGCUGGUGGGUUGGCCUGAGGCACCUUCUUACCUUUCUUCCUAGCUGGGCCAGCUGCUAGGCUUCCAAGCAGGGAGUGUGUUUGCAGGAUUCAGGGAGGCCUUCAGGGAGUAUGGGGGUGGUAGCCAGCCCAGGGCCGAAUCUCUGCAGUUCCUUCUCCACUUGUCUCCAUCUUUAGCACUAUUUCUGCUUCCUACUCUCUGCCUUCCCAGGCGCCUGUAUCUCCCUGAUCUGAUCUCUUCUUGCCUCAAUUUCCGUUUGUCUCUCUCAUGUCACAAAUCAGAAGAGGGUG